UUUGAAAAUCAAUGACCAUGUGUCUAAACAAGCAGCGCUGCAACUCCCCCCAACAAUGCCACCAACCCCAUGCUGCUCCCAUGCACAAACCCACCACUGGGCGGCGGCGUGGGUGAAGGAGGAGGUGAUGAACCAGGCCCGCCGGCUGGAGGAGGAGAUGUUGCAGGCGGCGAAGCUGUAGACGGGCCGGGUGAUCCCUCCGACGGAGGAGGCGCAGGUGGUGAGAUAGCAGUUGGUGAGCUAGCCGGGCUUGGGCUCAUUGAAGGAGUGGCCGCUGGUGGAGGUGACGAUACCGGCGAGGUAGUCGGGGAUGGCGAAAUUGAGGUAGUCGGGGAUGGCGAAAUUGAGGUAGUCGGGGAUGGCGAAAUUGAGGUCGGUGGGGUUGCUGGCGUGGCCACGCUUGGUGGUGGGGUUGCCAUAGUUGUUGGGGGAGUGGCGGUGGGGGGCGUUGCGGUGGAGGGGGGAGACGCUGGAGAGGUGGAGGGGGACUGAGCGAGGGAGGAUGCGGCGAAGGUCAGGGAGAG
RNAcentral lists this long non-coding RNA (524 nucleotides) under Vitis vinifera (wine grape). RNAcentral describes it as "long non-coding RNA (VVIN_LNC007811)". Lineage: Eukaryota; Viridiplantae; Streptophyta; Magnoliopsida; Vitales; Vitaceae. The record is from RNAcentral.